AUUAUCUGGCUUCAGCGCUCCGUGCGUCCGGCCCAGGUAACAACUUCCCCAAAAACCGAAAGAGAAAAGCGCGAGGCGCACGCACACCGGCCCAUCCCGGCGCAGAGACCGCGUCUGCCCCGGGAGGGGGAUCUGUCUGUGGUGCUUCCCGGUCUCUAAGCCCAGGGACGCCUGGUUUCCCCCCAAGCGAACCGGGAUGGGAAGUGACUUCAAUGAGAUUGAACUUCAGCUGGAUUGAAAGAGAGGCUAGAAGUUCCGCUUGCCAGCAGCCUCGUUAGUAGAGCGGAAUGAGUAAUACCCACACGGUGCUUGUCUCACUUCCCCAUCCGCACCCGGCCCUCACCUGCUGUCACCUCGGCCUCCCCCACCCGGUCCGCGCUCCCCGCCCUCUUCCUCGCGUAGACCCGUGGGAUCCUAGGCGGCAGGACUCAGAGCUAAGGUAUCCACAGGCCAUGAAUUCCUUCCUAAAUGAGCGG
RNAcentral lists this non-coding RNA (476 nucleotides) under Pan troglodytes (chimpanzee). The record is from RNAcentral. Lineage: Eukaryota; Metazoa; Chordata; Mammalia; Primates; Hominidae.